Molecule: ribosomal RNA, 647 nt
Filed under: uncultured bacterium
Lineage: Bacteria
Description: bacterial SSU rRNA
Rfam family: Bacterial small subunit ribosomal RNA
Source: RNAcentral
UGACCAUUGACGCCGCGUGAGGGAUGAAGGCCUUCGGGUUGUAAACCUCUUUCAGUAGGGAAGAAGCGAAAGUGACGGUACCUACAGAAGAAGCACCGGCUAACUAUGUGCCAGCAGCCGCGGUAAUACAUAGGGUGCAAGCGUUGUCCGGAAUUAUUGGGCGUAAAGAGCUCGUAGGUGGUCCGAUACGUCGGAUGUGAAAAUCAGGGGCUCAACCCCUGACCUGCAUUCGAUACGGUCGAGCUAGAGUUUGGUAGGGGAGACUGGAAUUCCUGGUGUAGCGGUGGAAUGCGCAGAUAUCAGGAGGAACACCGAUGGCGAAGGCAGGUCUCUGGGCCAAUACUGACACUGAGGAGCGAAAGCGUGGGGAGCGAACAGGAUUAGAUACCCUGGUAGUCCACGCCGUAAACGGUGGGCGCUAGUUGUGCGAACCUUCCACGGUUUGUGCGACGCAGCUAACGCAUUAAGCGCCCCGACUGGGGAGUACGAUCGCAAGAUUAAAACUCAAAGGAAUUGACGGGGCCCCGUACAAGCAGCGGAGCAUGCGGCUUAAUUCGACGCAACGCGAAGAACCUUACCAAGGCUUGACAUAUACAGGAAUACGGCAGAGAUGUCGUAGCCGCAAGGUCUGUAUACAGGUGGUGCAU